Molecule: ribosomal RNA, 446 nt
Filed under: uncultured bacterium
Lineage: Bacteria
Description: partial 16S ribosomal RNA
Rfam family: Bacterial small subunit ribosomal RNA
Source: RNAcentral
CCUACGGGUGGCAGCAGUCGAGAAUCAUUCACAAUGGGGGAAACCCUGAUGGUGCGACGCCGCGUGGGGGAAUGAAGGUCUUCGGAUUGUAAACCCCUGUCAUGUGGGAGCAAAUUAAAAAGAUAGUACCACAAGAGGAAGAGACGGCUAACUCUGUGCCAGCAGCCGCGGUAAUACAGAGGUCUCAAGCGUUGUUCGGAAUCACUGGGCGUAAGGCGUGCGUAGGCUGUUUCGUAAGUCGUGUGUGAAAGGCGAGGGGUCAACCCGCGGACGGCACAUGAUACUGCGAGACUAGAGUAAUGGAGGGGGAACCGGAAUUCUCGGUGUAGCAGUGAAAUGCGUAGAUAUCGAGAGGAACACUCGUGGCGAAGGCGGGUUCCUGGACAUUAACUGACGCUGAGGCACGAAGGCCAGGGGAGCGAAAGGGAUUAGAUACCCUUGUAGUC